This 1258-nucleotide ribosomal RNA is filed under the name Salmonella enterica subsp. houtenae. Its description in RNAcentral is "partial 23S ribosomal RNA". It matches the Rfam family "Bacterial large subunit ribosomal RNA", at positions 1 to 1190 of the family's 2925-position model. Lineage: Bacteria; Pseudomonadati; Pseudomonadota; Gammaproteobacteria; Enterobacterales; Enterobacteriaceae. The record is from RNAcentral.
GGGUUGUGAGGUUAAGCGACCAAGCGUACACGGUGGAUGCCCUGGCAGUCAGAGGCGAUGAAGGACGUGCUAAUCUGCGAAAAGCGCCGGUAAGGUGAUAUGAACCGUUAUAACCGGCGAUGUCCGAAUGGGGAAACCCAGUGUGACUCGUCACACUAUCAUUAACUGAAUCCAUAGGUUAAUGAGGCGAACCGGGGGAACUGAAACAUCUAAGUACCCCGAGGAAAAGAAAUCAACCGAGAUUCCCCCAGUAGCGGCGAGCGAACGGGGAGGAGCCCAGAGCCUGAAUCAGCAUGUGUGUUAGUGGAAGCGUCUGGAAAGGCGCGCGAUACAGGGUGAGAGCCCCGUACACAAAAGCGCAUGUGCUGUGAGCUCGAUGAGUAGGGCGGGACACGUGGUAUCCUGUCUGAAUAUGGGGGGACCAUCCUCCAAGGCUAAAUACUCCUGACUGACCGAUAGUGAACCAGUACCGUGAGGGAAAGGCGAAAAGAACCCCGGCGAGGGGAGUGAAACAGAACCUGAAACCGUGUACGUACAAGCAGUGGGAGCCCCACCACUAAGCCAGUGGUGAACUCCACAUACGCAUCCUUUGCUGAGGAUACGGUUAACGGAGCGAAAGCGACGUUUAACCGCAAAAGAAGCAGAGGGGGCUUAGUGGUGGGGUGACUGCGUACCUUUUGUAUAAUGGGUCAGCGACUUAUAUUCUGUAGCAAGGUUAACCGCAUAGGGGAGCCGGAGGGAAACCGAGUCUUAAUUGGGCGUUAAGUUGCAGGGUAUAGACCCGAAACCCGGUGAUCUAGCCAUGGGCAGGUUGAAGGUUGGGUAACACUAACUGGAGGACCGAACCGACUAAUGUUGAAAAAUUAGCGGAUGACCUGUGGCUGGGGGUGAAAGGCCAAUCAAACCGGGAGAUAGCUGGUUCUCCCCGAAAGCUAUUUAGGUAGCGCCUCGUGAAUUCAUCUCCGGGGGUAGAGCACUGUUUCGGCCAGGGGGCCAUCCCGGCUUACCAAUCCGAUGCAAACUGCGAAUACCGGAGAAUGUUAUCACGGGAGACACACGGCGGGUGCUAACGUCCGUCGUGAAGAGGGAAACAACCCAGACCGCCAGCUAAGGUCCCAAAGUCAUGGUUAAGUGGGAAACGAUGUGGGAAGGCCCAGACAGCCAGGAUGUUGGCUUAGAAGCAGCCAUCAUUUAAAGAAAGCGUAAUAGCUCACUGGUCGAGUCGGCCUGCGCGGAAGAUGUAACGGGGCUAAACCAU